CGAGGAGUUGCUUCGGAGGGAGCAGGAGGAGACGACGAUUCGCCAGAUGGCCGUGAUGCUCGCGGUCUCGCUGUUCGCUUCGGCGUUCCUCGU
This 93-nucleotide transfer RNA is filed under the name bacterium HR08. Its description in RNAcentral is "tRNA-Arg". The record is from RNAcentral.